Molecule: non-coding RNA, 69 nt
Organism: Bos taurus (domestic cattle)
Lineage: Eukaryota; Metazoa; Chordata; Mammalia; Artiodactyla; Bovidae
Source: Rfam
CCUGGUAGCUCAGACGGUAAAGCGUCUGCCUACAAUGCGGGAGACCCGGGUUCGAUCCCUGGGUCAGGA